RNAcentral lists this transfer RNA (83 nucleotides) under Spironucleus salmonicida. Its description in RNAcentral is "tRNA-Leu". It matches the Rfam family "tRNA". Rfam says of the family: Transfer RNA (tRNA) molecules are approximately 80 nucleotides in length. Their secondary structure includes four short double-helical elements and three loops (D, anti-codon, and T loops). The record is from Rfam by way of RNAcentral. Lineage: Eukaryota; Fornicata; Diplomonadida; Hexamitidae.
GCUAAUCUGGCCGAGAGGUUAAGGCGUUACGUUCAGGUCGUAAUGGACAGUAGUCCUCGCGGGUUCGAAUCCCGCGGUUAGUA